RNAcentral lists this ribosomal RNA (321 nucleotides) under Helcogramma ellioti (red-eye threefin). Its description in RNAcentral is "partial 12S ribosomal RNA". It matches the Rfam family "Bacterial small subunit ribosomal RNA", at positions 859 to 1356 of the family's 1533-position model. The record is from RNAcentral. Lineage: Eukaryota; Metazoa; Chordata; Actinopteri; Blenniiformes; Tripterygiidae.
CAAAAGCUAUUCGCCCGGGUACUACGAGCACUAGCUUAAAACCCAAAGGACUUGGCGGUGCUUAAGACCCCCCUAGAGGAGCCUGUUCUAGAACCGAUAACCCCCGUUCAACCUCACCUUCCCUAGCCAACCCCGUCUAUAUACCGCCGUCGUCAGCUUACCCCCUGAGGGACCCUCAGUAAGCAAAAUUGGCCAACCCCUAAACGUCAGGUCGAGGUGUAACGCAUGAGAAGGGUAGAAAUGGGCUACAUUCCUUAUAACGAAUAAUGUAAUGAAAUGUACAUUGGAAGGAGGAUUUAGCAGUAAACGGAAAGUAGAGUG